RNAcentral lists this long non-coding RNA (1775 nucleotides) under Sus scrofa (pig). Its description in RNAcentral is "lncRNA (ENSSSCG00015064539.1)". Lineage: Eukaryota; Metazoa; Chordata; Mammalia; Artiodactyla; Suidae. The record is from RNAcentral.
GAAACUUUGCAAAGGAUAAAACAACAGGCAACAGGCAGGCCCAAGGCCCCCACAACCGGGGUCCAGCCCAGUCUGUGACCAACUCAGGAAGGACCUGGGUCCAGACUAGGACUUCCCUACCCUAGAGAAGAACCUUUUCAUUGACCUAGUUAAAAGGAUUGCCCAUGAGUUCAAUGUCUCUGAGUGUUGUGUCUGUGGAGGGGCCCUUAUGAGUGAAGAAUGGCCUUGGAAGGAGACCAGUCUAGAUGCACUCCAUUUACUCCAAUGGAAUCAUUCCAUAACAGAGAGAGAAAACAACCAGCCCCAAAACUGGGUCUUGGCCUCAGAGGUGAUUGGAGAAGAGUGCAUUAGUAGAACAAGUCCCGGUUAUAGACAAUGGGUAGGAGGAACUCCAUGCAAAAGAAGGCUUUCUUGGGACUCUACCAGUUUUGAGUGGUGGCCAAACACUCCUACCUGGCAUUGGGCCCUGGCCUCUGUGGUUAAUACCUCCCAGUGUCAAUCUUCUCCCUACUAGGCCAUAGUCAAUUGUACUAUACAUGCUAAGGAGGAGGCCAAUCCAUUCCAUGGCAUACCUGAAAUUAGUAAAUACUGGGACACCCUUACUCUUAGUGACCCCAAGCACUGGAGGGCACCUGAUGGACUGUUUUGGAUAUGUGGAAAAAGAGCAUAUACACAACUCCCCACUCAGUGGAAAGGGAGCUACACCAUUGGAAUAAUCCAACCUGGAUUUUUCCUCCUGCCUAACCAGAAGGGAGGAAAAAUUAGGGGUUCCCCUUUAUCAGAGCCUAAAGGUUAGGACCAGAAGGAGUCCUAUGAUAAGAGGACAACAAAUAUGGGGAAAAAAAGAGUGGCCACCCUGGAGAAUUAUUCGGAUAUGUGGUUCAGCCACUUGGGCACAAGAUGGGAGUUGGGGCUACUGAACCCCUACAUAUAUGCUCAAUUGAAUCAUCAGGUAACAGGUGGUACUGGAAAUUAUUACUAACCAAAUAGCCACGGCCCUGGAACUCAUGACAAAACAACAAUCACAAGUGCAUAUAGCUAUACAGAACCUCCUAGCCUUAGAUUACCUAUUAGCAGAAGAAGGAGGAGUAUGUGGAAAAUUUAAUCGAUCCAUCUGCUGCCUCCAGAUAGACGACAAUGGCCACAUAACCACAAACAUCAGAAAAGUGGCUAAUGCCCCCAUACAGACUGGGGAGGGCUGGAACCCCAGGGAGCUAUUCGGGGGAUGGUUUUCAACCUUUGGGGGAUUCAAAACUCUCAUAGGUAUUGUGCUCAUGAUUGUGGGAUGCUGGCUGAUCUUACCCUGUCUGGCUCCUCUAGUUAUAAGAUCUGUCUCUGGUCUCAUUGAGACCCUGAUCAACAGGAAGACGGCCACACAUGUGAUGAUGCUGUGGAAAUACAAACCCCUAGCCCGAGAUGAUGCUCUUUGACCCUGAGAAAGGGAUCAGAGCAUCGGGGUGGGGAGGGGGAGGGGGAGGGGGAGGGCCCUCCCAGAACAAAGGGAAGGCAGCUCGCAACAUCAGCACCUGUGUACGCAUGUGCAGUUCUGCAACAAUGUAGCAUAACCUGUAUCCAUGGGCGCAAGUGCGUCUAUAACUGCCCCCCCACAAAUUACAGAAUAUAUGUUACUUUAUAAGGGGGACAAAGGGACUUAGAUGUAACAGAAAAAAGACUAACGGGGGUAUAUAAGGUGACACCCCACUGCGUUCGGGGCUCAGCCUUUGGAUCUGAAUCUGCUGAGCCAGUGCCGGCAUGAAUAAAUGCUACUUCCUGGC